Molecule: ribosomal RNA, 253 nt
Filed under: uncultured bacterium
Lineage: Bacteria
Description: partial 16S ribosomal RNA
Rfam family: Bacterial small subunit ribosomal RNA
Source: RNAcentral
GACGGAGGGUGCGAGCGUUAAUCGGAAUUACUGGGCGUAAAGCGUGCGCAGGCGGUUUCUUAAGCCAGACGUGAAAUCCCCGGGCUUAACCUGGGAACUGCGUUUGGAACUGGGAGACUAGAGUGUGUCAGAGGGAGGUGGAAUUCCGCGUGUAGCAGUGAAAUGCGUAGAUAUGCGGAGGAACACCGAUGGCGAAGGCAGCCUCCUGGGCCAAUACUGACGCUCAUGCACGAAAGCGUGGGUAGCAAACAGG